Molecule: non-coding RNA, 118 nt
Organism: Aedes albopictus (Asian tiger mosquito)
Lineage: Eukaryota; Metazoa; Arthropoda; Insecta; Diptera; Culicidae
Source: Rfam
UGCCCAGCAACUCCUAUCCCUACCUCCUCGCGGUACCGGCCGGAAACUAUGAGCAACCUUAGGGAAGAUCGGAUAACCAACCCCGGUGGGAACUUUGGUCAUAGGCUGACAGGGAAGG